Monodelphis domestica (gray short-tailed opossum) is the source of this 571-nucleotide long non-coding RNA. RefSeq lists it as uncharacterized. The record is from RefSeq and is a predicted model, not a curated record. NCBI's taxonomy places the organism in Eukaryota, Metazoa, Chordata, Mammalia, Didelphimorphia, Didelphidae.
GUCCUGUGCUGGCUCUAUCUCUCUGGUUUACCUGGAGGGGACUGGCUGCCUUCCCUUGUUGGCUUUUUUCUAUCUGGUCUUCUCCAUCCUACCUGCUUCCCUGCUGGCUGGACUGAUAUCUACAGAGCUUCCUGGUGUGAUCCUGAAUGGCCUGGGCAUCUGUCUAUUCUGUUCAUUUCCACAAAAAUUUACUGAAUUGACCUAGCCCUAAAACAAGGAAUCGGGAGCCAAUAUUUCCAUGACCACUAUCAUUUGCUGAUAUGCUAUGGGCCAAAUGGCACACUAUAAAGGAUUCUACAGGGUUUGCUCAGGAUUGGAAACCGCCCUCCACUUCAACUUUAACCUGAGGAGAAGCUGGAACAAAGCGGGCCAAUAAAGGAAGAGUGGAAGGCUAUUAUGAAAAACACCAGAGGAAAUCCUUUAAAGCGGCCGGAGCCUCACACCCAGGAGGUGCUCUCUGGCAAAUCUGAAGAAAGAGAGACAUGGCCCCAGCAUGUAACAGGUUCAUUGGGCUUUGGGAUCUGAGGUCUGAUCAUAGUAAGUCACCCAGUCUUGGCUUACCAUUUGGUUC